This 727-nucleotide ribosomal RNA is filed under the name uncultured fungus. RNAcentral's name for it is "SSU rRNA". It matches the Rfam family "Eukaryotic small subunit ribosomal RNA", at positions 329 to 1060 of the family's 1831-position model. Lineage: Eukaryota; Fungi. The record is from RNAcentral.
UAGGAUAGAGGCCUACCAUGGUGGUAACGGGUAACGGGGUGUUAGGGCACGACACCGGAGAGGGAGCCUGAGAAACGGCUACCACAUCCAAGGAUGGCAGCAGGCGCGCAAAUUACCCAAUCCCGACACGGGGAGGUAGUGACAAUAAAUAACAAUACGGGGUUCUUUAGGAUCUCGUAAUUGGAAUGAGUACAAUUUAAAUCUCUUAACGAGGAACAAUUGGAGGGCAAGUCUGGUGCCAGCAGCCGCGGUAAUUCCAGCUCCAAUAGCGUAUAUUAAAGUUGUUGCAGUUAAAAAGCUCGUAGUUGAAUUUCGGGGUUAGUAGGUUGGUCAUGCCUCUGGUAUGUACUGGUCUCACUGAUUCCUCCUUUCUUAUGAACCGUAAUGCCAUUAAUUUGGUGUUGCGGGGAAUUUGGACUGUUACUUUGAAAAAAUUAGAGUGUUUAAAGCAAGCUAACGCUUGAAUACAUUAGCAUGGAAUAAUGAAAUAGGACGUUCGAUCUUAUUCUGUUGGUUUCUAGGAUUGACGUAAUGAUUAAUAGGGAUAGUUGGGGGCAUUAGUAUUCAAUUGUCAGAGGUGAAAUUCUUGGAUUUAUUGAAGACUAACUACUGCGAAAGCAUUUGCCAAGGAUGUUUUCAUUAAUCAAGAACGAAAGUUAGGGGAUCGAAGACGAUCAGAUACCGUCGUAGUCUUAACCAUAAACUAUGCCGACUAGGGAUCGGAUGA